AACGACCGGCUGGGCAUGACUGUGCCCGGCCCACAAGUGGAGGCUUCGAACUCCCACCCGACCACCCCCCGGGGCGGCGGGUCACCGGUCAGACGGCCGUCCCUCGUGGGGGCGCCGCCGUCCGAUGAGUACGCCCCGCGAUCCUCGCGGCGGUGUUCCGGUAGUUCGAGGAACCCCGCAUGUGAUCGUUCGGGGCAUUUUUU
Molecule: non-coding RNA, 203 nt
Filed under: Streptomyces acidiscabies
Lineage: Bacteria; Bacillati; Actinomycetota; Actinomycetes; Kitasatosporales; Streptomycetaceae
Description: Streptomyces RNA 1601
Rfam family: Streptomyces RNA 1601
About the family: Identified by deep sequencing of transcriptome at the end of exponential growth phase. Appears longer on northern blot than sequencing transcript.
Source: Rfam by way of RNAcentral